UACUAGUCCAGAUAGUAGUGAAAAUCCUUGUUCUUUAUUUUUUAAUAGACAACAAGAUUUUACCGGAUAGCAGGACACGAG
RNAcentral lists this small RNA (81 nucleotides) under Flavobacterium xanthum. Its description in RNAcentral is "Flavo-1 RNA". It matches the Rfam family "Flavo-1 RNA". The record is from RNAcentral. Lineage: Bacteria; Pseudomonadati; Bacteroidota; Flavobacteriia; Flavobacteriales; Flavobacteriaceae.